UGGAGAUAAGGAGACAUUUUGGAGCAAAAGCUAAGGAAAAGGAAGAUAAGGACGAUUUUGGUUCUGGAAUUAGCGAGGAGUGUCGAUCGACACACUCUUGGUGUCGAUCGACACCAGUUUCGGCCCAGCAAAAACCCUAGACGCUUUCGAGUUUACAAGAGCUCAAGUUUGCCCUAGAAGAUUUCAUUAUUUGCAUUAUUAGUCCGUGGACGUUUUUAGGGUCUAUAUAUAUUGUUUUUAGACCUAAGUUUCUUUUAUCAAGUCUUUUAUCAAGCUUUUGCAAAACCAUGUUACUGAGAGACAUAAGCUAUUCAUCGAUUGUUUUCAGAGUUUCAUUCAGAUCUUAAUACAGUGAAGAGAUCCCUUCUUUCCCCUUCUCUAUUUACUGUGUUUAUGCUUUCACAC
RNAcentral lists this small RNA (405 nucleotides) under Arabidopsis thaliana (thale cress). Its description in RNAcentral is "ATSL093970". Lineage: Eukaryota; Viridiplantae; Streptophyta; Magnoliopsida; Brassicales; Brassicaceae. The record is from RNAcentral.